UUCUGGGAUAAGGAAUGUGUAUAUCUUGUUAAUCUGAUGAUUUUAUGAGGAGAAACCCUCAAAUUCACUCUUACUCUUUAUGGGA
Molecule: small nucleolar RNA, 85 nt
Organism: Rhododendron vialii
Lineage: Eukaryota; Viridiplantae; Streptophyta; Magnoliopsida; Ericales; Ericaceae
Product: small nucleolar RNA U30
Exons: 1
Source: RefSeq, a predicted model, not a curated record